UACGGAGGGUGCAAGCGUUAUCCGGAUUCACUGGGUUUAAAGGGUGCGUAGGUGGGCAAGUAAGUCAGUGGUGAAAUCUCCGGGCUUAACCCGGAAACUGCCAUUGAUACUAUUUGUCUUGAAUACUGUGGAGGUCAGCGGAAUAUGUCAUGUAGCGGUGAAAUGCUUAGAUAUGACAUAGAACACCAAUUGCGAAGGCAGCUGGCUACACAAAUAUUGACACUGAGGUGCGAAAGCGUGGGGAGCAAACAGG
This 253-nucleotide ribosomal RNA is filed under the name uncultured bacterium. Its description in RNAcentral is "partial 16S ribosomal RNA". It matches the Rfam family "Bacterial small subunit ribosomal RNA", at positions 524 to 776 of the family's 1533-position model. The record is from RNAcentral.